Molecule: transfer RNA, 69 nt
Filed under: Toxocara canis (dog roundworm)
Lineage: Eukaryota; Metazoa; Nematoda; Chromadorea; Rhabditida; Toxocaridae
Rfam family: tRNA
About the family: Transfer RNA (tRNA) molecules are approximately 80 nucleotides in length. Their secondary structure includes four short double-helical elements and three loops (D, anti-codon, and T loops). Further hydrogen bonds mediate the characteristic L-shaped molecular structure. tRNAs have two regions of fundamental functional importance: the anti-codon, which is responsible for specific mRNA codon recognition, and the 3' end, to which the tRNAs corresponding amino acid is attached (by aminoacyl-tRNA synthetases). tRNAs cope with the degeneracy of the genetic code in two manners: having more than one tRNA (with a specific anti-codon) for a particular amino acid; and 'wobble' base-pairing, i.e. permitting non-standard base-pairing at the 3rd anti-codon position.
Source: Rfam by way of RNAcentral
GUGGCCGUAGCUCAGUGGUAGAGCUCCUGCCUCGUACGCGGAGAGACGUGGGUUCGAUUCCCGGCUGCU